Molecule: non-coding RNA, 99 nt
Organism: Mycena galericulata
Lineage: Eukaryota; Fungi; Basidiomycota; Agaricomycetes; Agaricales; Mycenaceae
Source: the annotation of a GenBank genome assembly
GGCCCGGUGGCGGAUGGUCCGCGUCUGUAUUAUGCCAUGGCGCCGUGAAAACCUGCUUGCAUCAAGCAGAACCUGCUCGUUCGAUUCGAGCCCGGGCCC